This is a long non-coding RNA of Pistacia vera, 701 nucleotides long. RefSeq lists it as uncharacterized. NCBI's taxonomy places the organism in Eukaryota, Viridiplantae, Streptophyta, Magnoliopsida, Sapindales, Anacardiaceae. The record is from RefSeq and is a predicted model, not a curated record. The transcript has 3 exons.
GCUGGGAGUAUCGCACAAAAUAGACGCUCUGCACUCACUGUUUUUCGGUUUUUCAUCUUAUCUUAUCCGAUAUAUACCUAUUGAGGAGGGUUAAGAGUUGAAAGCAACGUUGAGUUAGUGGGUGGGAAUGUUUGUUUCUGCCUGGCUCCCUGAAUGCCAUAUAAGAAGUUUGUCAAAGAGUGUUGGCAAUCUUCCUACUUGGCGUGAAGGGAGUCAUGCAGGCCUUGUCAAUCUUUCUACUCUAUUCUCAGCCCCGGGGUGCCCUCAUCGAAUCUCAUCUAAAUCAUCAUCAGUAAACUACAUCUAUAUAUAGAUUAAUUGCUGUUCUGUUUUAUGCAAAUGCCUAAUUAACUAAAACAAAAGGUAUAUAUUGUUGACUCUCUUUUCUUUAAUCAUGUACAGCGGUCUUCCUUCAGGGAAUCGGAAAACAACUAAUCAUAACCUUUUGUUGAGGCAUAUGUUUUUGAGAAGUCUUAUGAUAUAUGCCAUAUGGAAUGCAAGUGCAGAAGCAAGCUGAUGAUCAUUGGUAUGUUUAUAUUUACCAAUAAUACUAACCUUAUUAAUCCCUCUCACUAACCCCUCUCACUAAUCUCAUGUGGGAGUUUGUCAUUAUCUUGGUUAGGUUCGACCUAUUAUUAGACAGACGGGUCCUAUGUAAAUUGAUGAAUUGUGAGCGACAUAUGAUGUUAGUGAGAAGUGUU